Non-coding RNA from Paramuricea clavata, 752 nucleotides. NCBI's taxonomy places the organism in Eukaryota, Metazoa, Cnidaria, Anthozoa, Malacalcyonacea, Plexauridae. The record is from the annotation of a GenBank genome assembly.
CAAAUUUCAAAUUACCACGAUCGUCUAAAAAUGACGAAAAAUUACCACGGUACUGAUAAAUGAAAUUACUAGCCCGCGUGCAGGCCCUGCAAGCUGUGAAAUUACCACAUCUGCUCACACUGUGAAGAAACUAUGGUUUCUCGUUGGCUAAUUGAUUCAAGCAGCUCAGCACUAAGCUCACAACAUCCGCAGACGUUGAGAUUUUUUCCUCGCGAGAUGAAAAAUAUCAAACACGAUAGAUGGGGCAUAGAUAUUUUCCUCAAGGCCUCGAGAGGUCAAUUCCUCACGAAAACUAUCCGCACAUGAGAGAAACUUGCUGAGCCAGCUGCCGCGGCAGGCUUUAUGCAGUUUGCCGUGAAUCAUCAGAGCCAGAGGUGAAUCAUAUGGUUAUAGAAUUGUAAUGAUGUAAUCAAUGCCUUUUUCAAAAUAAUCAAUACGUUUUUGCAAAACUCUUGUAAUCUGUGAAUUUUCGUCGCCAAAUGGAAACAAAGAAGCCAGAUUCGAAUUAUUUGGCCGAAGAGGCCAACUUACCAGGUUAGCACUAUUUUCAAUCCAGGGCAUUUUUUAAGAAACUGCAACUACUGGGGCCAAGUCUUAAUGAGGGCCUUUUCCCCGCACAGGGGGCGGCGCUAGCCCUAUUUGAAUGGGGGGGGGGCGUGUAAGUGACAUUUUGCAUUUGCCAGCGACUCAUUUCAAACGCUAAUUUAUAUAUCUUUUCCCAAAAUUGUUGGCGAGUGGGGGGAGAGGAGAAG